GGAAUAUUGCACAAUGGGGGAAACCCUGAUGCAGCCAUGCCGCGUGUGUGAAGAAGGCCUUCGGGUUGUAAAGCACUUUCAGUAGGGAGGAAAGGGUGUAACUUAAUACGUUAUAUCUGUGACGUUACCUACAGAAGAAGGACCGGCUAACUCCGUGCCAGCAGCCGCGGUAAUACGGAGGGUCCGAGCGUUAAUCGGAAUUACUGGGCGUAAAGCGUGCGCAGGCGGUUUGUUAAGCGAGAUGUGAAAGCCCUGGGCUCAACCUAGGAAUAGCAUUUCGAACUGGCGAACUAGAGUCUUGUAGAGGGGGGUAGAAUUCCAGGUGUAGCGGUGAAAUGCGUAGAGAUCUGGAGGAAUACCGGUGGCGAAGGCGGCCCCCUGGACAAAGACUGACGCUCAUGCACGAAAGCGUGGGGAGCAAACAGGAUUAGAUACCCGAG
Molecule: ribosomal RNA, 440 nt
Filed under: uncultured Shewanella sp.
Lineage: Bacteria; Pseudomonadati; Pseudomonadota; Gammaproteobacteria; Alteromonadales; Shewanellaceae
Description: bacterial SSU rRNA
Rfam family: Bacterial small subunit ribosomal RNA
Source: RNAcentral